Molecule: transfer RNA, 77 nt
Filed under: Deltaproteobacteria bacterium HGW-Deltaproteobacteria-6
Lineage: Bacteria; Deltaproteobacteria
Also listed under: 3 other names
Description: tRNA-Arg
Rfam family: tRNA
About the family: Transfer RNA (tRNA) molecules are approximately 80 nucleotides in length. Their secondary structure includes four short double-helical elements and three loops (D, anti-codon, and T loops).
Source: RNAcentral
GCGCCUGUAGCUCAGCUGGAUAGAGCAACGGACUUCUAAUCCGUUGGCCGAGAGUUCGAAUCCCUCCAGGCGCACCA